AGAAUCAACGCUGGCGGCGUGCCUAACACAUGCAAGUCGAACGAGAAAGGGGAGCAAUCCCUGAGUAAAGUGGCGACCGGGUGAGUAACACGUGACUAACCUACCCUCGAGUGUGGAAUAACAUCGGGAAACCGAUGCUAAUACCGCAUAACAUCGGCGCUUUUAAGAGAUGCCGAUCAAAGGAGCAAUCCGCUUGAGGAGGGGGUCGCGGCUGAUUAGCUAGUUGGCGGGGUAACGGCCCACCAAGGCGAAGAUCGGUAGCCGGCCUGAGAGGGCGCACGGCCACACUGGAACUGAAACACGGUCCAGACUCCUACGGAGGCAGCAGUGGGGAAUUUUGCGCAAUGGGGGAAACCCUGACGCAGCAACGCCGCGUGGAGGAUGAAGCCCUUGGGGCGUAAACUCCUUUCGACCAAGACGAUAAUGACGGUACUGGUGGAAGAAGCACCGGCUAACUCUGCGCCAGCAGCCGC
RNAcentral lists this ribosomal RNA (473 nucleotides) under uncultured bacterium. RNAcentral describes it as "SSU rRNA". It matches the Rfam family "Bacterial small subunit ribosomal RNA", at positions 26 to 518 of the family's 1533-position model. The record is from RNAcentral.